This 253-nucleotide ribosomal RNA is filed under the name uncultured bacterium. Its description in RNAcentral is "partial 16S ribosomal RNA". It matches the Rfam family "Bacterial small subunit ribosomal RNA", at positions 524 to 776 of the family's 1533-position model. The record is from RNAcentral.
UACGUAGGGGGCAAGCGUUGUCCGGAAUCAUUGGGCGUAAAGAGCGCGCAGGCGGUCAAGUAAGUCGAAUGUGAAAGCCCCCGGCUCAACUGGGGAGGGUCAUUCGAUACUGCUCGACUUGAAGGCAGGAGAGGGCAGCAGAAUUCCCGGUGUAGUGGUGAAAUUCGUAGAUAUCGGGAGGAACACCUGUGGCGAAGGCGGCCAUCUGGACGGUAACUGACGCUGAGACGCGAAAGCGUGGGUAGCAAACAGG